Molecule: ribosomal RNA, 253 nt
Filed under: uncultured bacterium
Lineage: Bacteria
Description: partial 16S ribosomal RNA
Rfam family: Bacterial small subunit ribosomal RNA
Source: RNAcentral
UACGGGGGGGGCAAGCGUUGUCCGGAAUCAUUGGGCGUAAAGCGCGCGUAGGUGGCUUCGUAAGUCCGUUGUGAAAGUCAAAGGCUCAACCUUUGAAAGCCGAUGGAUACUGUGAAGCUAGAGUACGGAAGAGGCGAGUGGAAUUCCUGGUGUAGCGGUGGAAUGCGCAGAUAUCAGGAGGAACACCAAUAGCGAAGGCAGCUCGCUGGGACGGUACUGACGCUGAGGCGCGAAAGCGUGGGGAGCGAACAGG